CUCCCCGGGAACCUGGUGCCCUCCUCCCCGGGAACCUGGUGCCCUCCUCCCCGGGAACCUGGUGCCCUCCUCCCCCUUACUCCAAUCCCAAUGCAUGGAUAGAGGCUUGACGGUGUUUGUGGCAGUUCAUGUCCCGGAUGUGUUACUAAAUGGGUGGCGCUGGAGGCUUGGGGCGAUACCACCACUCGUUUGUCUGUUGGCGAUUAGUGUUGUCCCCCUGAGUGGCCAGCGUGGCCCCGUACCAUUCAGGACACGAGUUGCAACGGGCGCGCACUGAAGCUAGCGUGCCCUCCCGAAGAGUGUCAGUAAAAUAAAAUACAAAAACACAAUCACGGUUGCACCAAGCACAACAUCAAACACAUACAAUGCUGAAGAGUAGGAGUAUCGAGGGCAUAUCCGUGGCUCAUAACACAGUCACAGUUCAGAAGGCCGGCACGCGGUGUCAACCAGGCCACCAUUCCUCUCCGCAUUAAAGCACUCGGUGGGGGAGGGUGCCCUGGUUGACACAAUGUGCCGCGCAUCAACCAGCGCGACGGAAGUUGGCCUCCAGCAAAGCAUAUUUUGCACGCAAAUGGUGUCCGCUCUCCCAAACCACACGAAUGGCACCAUGGCAAAAAACACUCCCCCACAAUGUAUUGACCUUGUUUGUUAAUGAAAUUGUGGCACUGACUUCGGCAGACGCCAAGUGGUGGAUAUAGAACCACCUUUCAUGGCAGUACAUUGCUGCAUGUGCCACAUGUUCAAAAGCAAUAAACAGAUUAAAAGAA
Molecule: unclassified non-coding RNA, 767 nt
Filed under: Human gammaherpesvirus 8
Lineage: Duplodnaviria; Heunggongvirae; Peploviricota; Herviviricetes; Herpesvirales; Orthoherpesviridae
Description: T0.7
Rfam family: mir-K12-10 microRNA precursor family (bases 160-229)
Source: RNAcentral